GCUUAACACAUGCAAGUCGAACGGAAAGGCCCUGCUUUUGUGGGGUGCUCGAGUGGCGAACGGGUGAGUAACACGUGAGUAACCUGCCCUUGACUUUGGGAUAACUUCAGGAAACUGGGGCUAAUACCGGAUAGGAGCUCCUGCUGCAUGGUGGGGGUUGGAAAGUUUCGGCGGUUGGGGAUGGACUCGCGGCUUAUCAGCUUGUUGGUGGGGUAGUGGCUUACCAAGGCUUUGACGGGUAGCCGGCCUGAGAGGGUGACCGGCCACAUUGGGACUGAGAUACGGCCCAGACUCCUACGGGAGGCAGCAGUGGGGAAUAUUGCACAAUGGGCGGAAGCCUGAUGCAGCAACGCCGCGUGCGGGAUGACGGCCUUCGGGUUGUAAACCGCUUUCGCCUGUGACGAAGCGUGAGUGACGGUAAUGGGUAAAGAAGCACCGGCUAACUACGUGCCAGCAGCCGCGGUGAUACGUAGGGUGCGAGCGUUGUCCGGAUUUAUUGGGCGUAAAGGGCUCGUAGGUGGUUGAUCGCGUCGGAAGUGUAAUCUUGGGGCUUAACCCUGAGCGUGCUUUCGAUACGGGUUGACUUGAGGAAGGUAGGGGAGGAUGGAAUUCCUGGUGGAGCGGUGGAAUGCGCAGAUAUCAGGAGGAACACCAGUGGCGAAGGCGGUUCUCUGGGCCUUUCCUGACGCUGAGGAGCGAAAGCGUGGGGAGCGAACAGGCUUAGAUACCCUGGUAGUCCACGCUGUAAACGGUGGGUACUAGGUGUGGGGUCCAUUCCACGGGUUCCGUGCCGUAGCUAACGCUUUAAGUACCCCGCCUGGGGAGUACGGCCGCAAGGCUAAAACUCAAAGGAAUUGACGGGGCCCCGCACAAGCGGCGGAGCAUGCGGAUUAAUUCGAUGCAACGCGUAGAACCUUACCUGGGUUUGACAUGGAUCGGGAGUGCUCAGAGAUGGGUGUGCCUCUUUUGGGGUCGGUUCACAGGUGGUGCAUGGCUGUCGUCAGCUCGUGUCGUGAGAUGUUGGGUUAAGUCCCGCAACGAGCGCAACCCUUGUUCACUGUUGCCAGCACGUUAUGGUGGGGACUCAGUGGAGACCGCCGGGGUCAACUCGGAGGAAGGUGGGGAUGACGUCAAGUCAUCAUGCCCCUUAUGUCCAGGGCUUCACGCAUGCUACAAUGGCUGGUACAGAGAGUGGCGAGCCUGUGAGGGUGAGCGAAUCUCGGAAAGCCGGUCUCAGUUCGGAUUGGGGUCUGCAACUCGACCUCAUGAAGUCGGAGUCGCUAGUAAUCGCAGAACAGCAACGCUGCGGUGAAUACGUUCCCGGGG
Molecule: ribosomal RNA, 1326 nt
Filed under: uncultured bacterium
Lineage: Bacteria
Description: bacterial SSU rRNA
Rfam family: Bacterial small subunit ribosomal RNA
Source: RNAcentral